ACCGAACGCUGGCGGCGGGCCUAAUACAUGCAAGUCGAACGACAUAGUGGCAAACGGGUGAGUAACGCGUGGGAACGUACCUUUCUCUACGGAAUAGCUCUUGGAAACGAGUGGUAAUACCGUAUACGCCCUCCGGGGGAAAGAUUUAUCGGCGAAAGAUCGGCCCGCGUUAGAUUAGGUAGUUGGUGGGGUAAUGGCCUACCAGGCCUACGAUCUAUAGCUGGUCUGAGAGGAUGAUCACCCUCACUGGGACUGAGACACGGCCCAGACUCCUACGGGAGGCACCAGUGGGGAAUCUUGCACAAUGGGCAAAAGCCUGAUGCACCCAUGCCGCGUGAAUGAUGAAGGCCUUAGGGUUGUAAAAUUCUUUCGCCAGGGAUGAUAAUGACAGUACCUGGUAAAGAAGCCCCGGCUAACUUCGUGCCACCAGCCGCGGUAAUAC
Molecule: ribosomal RNA, 442 nt
Filed under: bacterium enrichment culture clone NKeA3O5
Lineage: Bacteria
Description: bacterial SSU rRNA
Rfam family: Bacterial small subunit ribosomal RNA
Source: RNAcentral